AAACCAGCACCUCAAGUGGUCAGGAUGAUUAUUGGGCCUAAAGCAUCCGUAGCCGGCUCUGUAAGUUUCCGGUUAAAUCUGUACGCUCAACGUACAGGCUGUCGGGAAUACUGCAGAGCUAGGGAGUGGGAGAGGUAGACGGUACUCGGGAGGAAGUGGUAAAAUGCUUUGAUCUCUCGAUGACCACCUGUGGCGAAGGCGGUCUACCAGAACACGUCCGACGGUGAGGGAUGAAAGCUGGGGGAGCAAACCGGAUUAGAAACCCGAGUAGUCC
Molecule: ribosomal RNA, 274 nt
Filed under: uncultured bacterium
Lineage: Bacteria
Description: partial 16S ribosomal RNA
Rfam family: Archaeal small subunit ribosomal RNA
Source: RNAcentral